Molecule: ribosomal RNA, 465 nt
Filed under: uncultured bacterium
Lineage: Bacteria
Description: partial 16S ribosomal RNA
Rfam family: Bacterial small subunit ribosomal RNA
Source: RNAcentral
CUACGGGGUGCAGCAGUGGGGAAUAUUGGACAAUGGAGGAAACCCUGAUCCAGCAAUGCCGCGUGUGUGAAGAAGGCCUGCGGGUUGUAAAGCACUUUCGGUUGGGAGGACUGCUUCUAGCACUAAUAUUGUUGGAAGUUGACGUUACCUUCAGAAGAAGCACCGGCUAACUCCGUGCCAGCAGCCGCGGUAAUACGGGGGGUGCAAGCGUUAAUCGGAAUUACUGGGCGUAAAGCGCGCGUAGGCGGCUAGAUCAGUCGGGUGUGAAAGCCCCGGGCUUAACCUGGGAACUGCAUCCGAUACUGUCUAGCUUGAGUACAGGAGAGGAGAGUGGAAUUCCACAUGUAGCGGUGAAAUGCGUAGAUAUGUGGAGGAACACCAAUGGCGAAGGCAGCUCUCUGGCCUGAGACUGACGCUGAGGUGCGAAAGCGUGGGGAGCAAACAGGAUUAGAUACCCUCGUAGUC